RNAcentral lists this ribosomal RNA (447 nucleotides) under uncultured bacterium. Its description in RNAcentral is "partial 16S ribosomal RNA". It matches the Rfam family "Bacterial small subunit ribosomal RNA", at positions 29 to 523 of the family's 1533-position model. The record is from RNAcentral.
AACGAACGCUGGCGGCAGGCUUAACACAUGCAAGUCGAGCGCCCCGCAAGGGGAGCGGCAGACGGGUGAGUAACGCGUGGGAAUCUACCCAUCUCUACGGGACAACUCCGGGAAACUGGAGCUAAUACCGUAUACGUCCUUCGGGAGAAAGAUUUAUCGGAGAUGGAUGAGCCCGCGUUGGAUUAGCUAGUUGGUGGGGUAAUGGCCUACCAAGGCGACGAUCCAUAGCUGGUCUGAGAGGAUGAUCAGCCACACUGGGACUGAGACACGGCCCAGACUCCUACGGGAGGCAGCAGUGGGGAAUAUUGGACAAUGGGCGAAAGCCUGAUCCAGCCAUGCCGCGUGAGUGAUGAAGGCCCUAGGGUUGUAAAGCUCUUUCACCGGUGAAGAUAAUGACGGUAACCGGAGAAGAAGCCCCGGCUAACUUCGUGCCAGCCGCCGCCGUAA